RNAcentral lists this ribosomal RNA (380 nucleotides) under uncultured bacterium. RNAcentral's name for it is "bacterial SSU rRNA". It matches the Rfam family "Bacterial small subunit ribosomal RNA", at positions 28 to 412 of the family's 1533-position model. The record is from RNAcentral.
GACGAACGCUGGCGGCGUGCUUAACACAUGCAAGUCGAGCGGUAAGGCCCUUCGGGUACACGAGCGGCGAACGGGUGAGUAACACGUGGGUGACCUGCCUCUAGCUCUGGGAUAAGCCUGGGAAACUGGGUCUAAUACCGGAUAUGACUCCACGGCGCAUGUUGUGGGGUGGAAAGCCUUGUGUGGCUAGAGAUGGGCCCGCGGCCUAUCAGCUUGUUGGUGGGGUGAUGCCUACCAAGGCGACGACGGGUAGCCGGCCUCGAGAGGGCGACCGGCCACACUGGGACUGAGACACGGCCCAGACUCCUACGGGAGGCAGCAGUGGGGAAUCUUGCGCAAUGGGCGAAAGCCUGACGCAGCGACGCCGCGUGAGGGAUGAC